RNAcentral lists this long non-coding RNA (733 nucleotides) under Ooceraea biroi (clonal raider ant). RNAcentral's name for it is "uncharacterized LOC105285765, transcript variant X1". The record is from RNAcentral. Lineage: Eukaryota; Metazoa; Arthropoda; Insecta; Hymenoptera; Formicidae.
AACAAACCAAAAGUCCGCAGGACAAAACAACAUCAUGAAAACCAUUAAACUGUAUUAUACCAUUGUAUACCUACAAAACAUUUAUAGUGAAUGUAUUUUAGCAAAAUUUAUAAGUGGAUAUGUAUCCAUAAAAAUAAUUAACAUGAUCUGGAAGAUAUUAAAAGUACAAGAUUUUUUGGUCCUGUUUUGCUCACAUUAAAUACGUAGAAUUACUCUUGUACAAAUCAUAUUCUUCAUGUAUACAAGGUUUGAAGAUUGCCCAUAAUCCUAAUCUAAAGCAAAUUAAAAUAACAUACAAUAUGUGGAAUGUAUUAUACUAAUAAGUAAUACUUACGCGAAAUAGGACGCAACUUAAUGACAAGACGUAAACUAACAGUAAUGGAAACAACCAUAUAUCAAACGAAAGUAACAAGCCUUUGCAGAACCUUCAACCCCAAAAAAUAUCUAUUUAGUAAAGUUACAUCCAAUAACUCUCAAACCUAUAAAUAUUUCAAUGUAAUUAUUCACGCUAAGGUGAAUACUAACAAUUAAUAUAAUCAAUAGAAAACAUAUUAACAUAUUUCGAAACUAACUCUAAGGUUCUUCUAUGAAGGUAAACUGAAAGACAAAUAUUCCGAUGCAUAUAUUGUAUUCUUUGAACAACAGGAAGUUGUAGCAUAUAGACAGUGAAGAACGUGAAAAUCGCAAGUAGCGACCAAACUCCGAAUCCUGCUGCUGCUCCCUCAAGCAGUAA